CCCGACCUAGCUCAGUUGGUAGAGCAUAAGACUCUUAAUCAGGGACAUGGGUGGCGCUGUGGGUUAAACCACAGAGCCUAGGACUUGCCGAUCGGAAGGUCAGCGGUUCGAAUCCCCGUGAUGGGGU
This is a non-coding RNA of Podarcis lilfordi (Lilford's wall lizard), 127 nucleotides long. The record is from the annotation of a GenBank genome assembly. Lineage: Eukaryota; Metazoa; Chordata; Lepidosauria; Squamata; Lacertidae.